CCUGUCGAAAAGGUUGAAUAAAUCACUUAUUAUCAAACCAAAUGACCUAUAGUCAUUUGUGUGUAUAUUUAAAGCACUGUGUAGGUUCGUUUUGGAAACACGGUAUUUAAAAACGUGCGUGGCUCUUGUAGUUUUUUUCCCCCCUCGACGAAAACAUUCUGCAGCGGACAGGUUGACGUUCUCCCACCUGCCAGGAUAUCCUGGCUCCUAUACGGUGCACCUGCUUACUGGCAGGCACCAGUUUAGUGUAACAACGGUGUAAAUGACGGUGUGAAUACAGUCAGAAGACAAUAGGAGAGCGGAAGCAAUACUGUAUUUUGAUACAUGAGAAAAAAUCUUUCGAACUCCAACGGCACUUAAGUUUCAGGCAUGCUGACAAACAAACAGGGCAGAAGCUGUUGUGUUUGAUGCUUUCUGGUCUCAAUUAAGCUAUCUUCAUGUACUCUCCUGUCGUCCAUCCCAGAUGUUUAGAGAGGAGAGUGACAUCCUUUAAAUUGCAGAAUCUGUAUAAUAAUUUUAUUAAGGUUUACAUUAGGGACACAUGUAAUGGAUACAUGCCGUCCACUAGGCAAAAAGUCUUGGGGCUGCCAAAGAAAAUUAUACAAGUGAUGUUGGGAUAAAAUUAUAUUUUCUGGCGAAAUUAGUUAGCCAUUCCGAAUCCUCUCCUAAAGUCAGGCCAGUAUCUGCGGGUCCCUCUGAGGAGAGGGUUUGGCAAACGAGGAGGAACCCAAGAAUUUGCCUUGUAUUGCGAGAGGAUCCAACUGCAGGAGCUGCAGGUCUGUUCCCAGACUGGAGAUCCAGCGAGAGGCAGAGGGUCAAAAACCAGCUCUUCUGCCCACUGAUCCCUGAGACCUGAAGACAGGAAACCAGGAACCAAUGGGACUUGGGGCCAUUGAUGGACAGACUAUUCGUAGAUGAUCAAGAUGCACGGGAAGGCUCUCUGGACCAUGAAUCCAGGAAGGGGACACUACAUUACCAGAUUCAGACACUCAAAACAAGACUCAAGUCUCCAUGAAUCAUGAACCCUGAGAUGCUAUGCUGGGACCUGAAACCACCAAGGUAGUAACAUUUCUGUCAAACCGAAAAAAAAAGCAUUGAAAAAAUAGGGACUGACUGCAUCAAGCCCCAGAAAAGAGCCUCUGAUUUGAAUCAGGCUUCAAACCCUAUACUCUAAGAGCAACAACGUUGAGGUAGGGUGAUGUGUAGCUCGAUCAGCAGGUUUUUGGAUCUUUACCCAUGCCCGGAAGGUGAUAGGUUCAAAUCCCGCGGAUGGAGGAGUAAUCAAAGCAGCAUUGUUCCCUUGAAUAAAGGCCC
Molecule: long non-coding RNA, 1314 nt
Organism: Brienomyrus brachyistius
Lineage: Eukaryota; Metazoa; Chordata; Actinopteri; Osteoglossiformes; Mormyridae
Exons: 3
Source: RefSeq, a predicted model, not a curated record